GUUUCUCAUACAUACUCUCCUAAUCCUCAAAGCCGAGGUACGUGCAGAGAGCAGCACACACUCUCGCAUUCAGAUCCAGACAUGUGCGUAUGAACGUACUUACUUUAACGCUCAACACAGGAGAUGAGAAGCAGGUACAGGGAGUGAACCAUUUAAUAUAGACGGACAUGCAACGGAACAAGAAAAGCGUCUGGACAUAAACACGACAAACAAUGCAACUAGGGAACAACAGAGGAGCAGACAUAUAUGCAGGGACAAAUCAACAAAGUGAGGGAGUCCAGCCCAAGCAGCGAACUGUCAACCAUGGAGGCCAGAGUGACAGUCAGUGAGACGGAGAAUGCAGCCCUGGAGGCCAAAGUAACAGCCAGGCAGGUAGAGGUGGAGGAGCUGAUGAGAGAGAUCGCCAGAACAUCAAAUCAAAGUUUGUCACGUGCGCCGAAUACAACAGCUCCCCUUACAGUGAAAUUCUUACUUACAGGCUCUAACCAAUAGUGCAAAAAAAGGU
Molecule: long non-coding RNA, 505 nt
Organism: Salvelinus namaycush (lake trout)
Lineage: Eukaryota; Metazoa; Chordata; Actinopteri; Salmoniformes; Salmonidae
Exons: 3
Source: RefSeq, a predicted model, not a curated record